Molecule: long non-coding RNA, 1753 nt
Organism: Macaca fascicularis (crab-eating macaque)
Lineage: Eukaryota; Metazoa; Chordata; Mammalia; Primates; Cercopithecidae
Source: Ensembl
UUUUUUUUUUGUUUGUUUUUUUGCUUUGUUUUGCAACUUUGAGCCAGAGAAAGGCUAGCAUUUUCCCUCCAAGCUGACUCGGGGAAGCUGAAACACAACAAAGACCUAUUUGAUUUGUGCACAAUGAACAGGGAUUUAAAAACGCAGCCUUAGUGGACAGCUCUACCAGCCAGAGAAAAGUUCUUCCAGAUCUUCCUCCCGUCAGCACGAUAAAAUGGUACUAUACUUUGGUUAAAUGUAAAAUCAGCUUUCCAAGAACAGUGGAAUAUCCUUUCUCUUCCAUCAGUUCCCUAGAUUCUCUUCGUUACUACAUUCUCUAGCCUAACAUUCAGUCCCUGCUGAAUUAACUAAUAUUCAGAUACAUUCAAGAUAGAACUCACACUCAGUUCUAUCUUUCCAAAAUUUAAGAGGAUGAGAGGUCUUCACUCGCAUGGUAACAAACGCAGCAGCAAACCCCAUAAAACUGAACAUCAACUGCCUUCUGGAAGUUCUCAUCUGGCAAGCUAGUGCAGGUAUCUUGUGCAUGGGUCAAGAGAGUGAAGCUCAGAGCACACUGCUUGGCACCCAGCAGGUGUUCAGGACAAGUUUUAGCUCAGCCCUCCUAGAAAACUAUGAAAUAAAAUCCAAACAAAAGUAUUAAGAUUGAAAUAAAAGGAUGUUUUUCUAAGAGUAUCAAUAUAUGGAAGUGACUUGCCCAAGAAUAGACUCAAACCAACCAAAACCCAAUAAAAUGAGAUAAUUGAGAAAGCAGCAGCAGAAAAUCAAUGUCAGGUUUUCCACCUCAAAAAGACCUCUUCUAAACUGAAUCUGAAGAGGGAUGGGAGGAGGCAGAACGAGAACAUGACACCGCUCCUCGGGGCCUACAAGAAGGUAAGGUGACUGCAGGGCUGUGAGCCGUAGGGGAGUUGCCAUUGUCAGCAUCAGUCAGGGAGGCUGGAGUGAGCAGACCAGGACAACUCCACAGCUUCGGCAGCAAAGGUCCAGGACCAAGGAAAGCAAGUACACAGAUUGUGCUUCACACAACAAACACAGCAGUUUCCAAACAGCACAGCCUCAGUUCGAACCGGCCCAGGAGCACACCAUGUCCUUUCAGGACCUGCCCCUUCCAGUGCCCUAGGGCAGACUAAUCUCUUAAUGCUUUAUUCAACUUCGUAAAACACUGGUGGCUCAUUUUAUGUGUUUUGAAUUGGUGAAAGGAUGCAGGUUGGUCACGGGUUAAGCUCGGUAAGUCAGCCUUGCAGAUACAAGUGGCAGCUUAAUUAUCCUGGAGGCAGAGCUCAUUGCCUAAGAGCACUUUCACACGAGUCUCUGCUUUUCCUUUAUCCUAGAGGGCAAGCUGGCUGGUUACUAAUUAUACCGUCAAAAGCUGUCCUAGGCUCCUGAGUUGCUGCUGAUAUAAGUGUUUCAGCCUAAUAUUUGGACUCUAAUAGAAGGCAGCACUUUUGGUUUGGUAAGAGACAAACUGGAAGGCUGGGCAACAAGUAAGUUAAAGUUGUCCAUUUAUCAAACACAAUGCCUAAGAGACACAGAGGCUCCCUUCUGUUUCCAUGCACUGGCUGUUUCCACACAGCUGAAAGAGAUGAGCUGUGGACACUUAGACCUUGUAUUGAGAUGAAUUCACUGGCCAAGAGGAAAAGAAGAAAGUGGUUGGGAAAUAUUUUUUGGAACUGGUGGGGCAUUCCUGUAAGGGAAAUCAAUCUAAAACUAAACAUUCUUUCUACAACAUGUGUAUAAAAUACACUUUUUUAUAUAU